GUGGGAUUAGCUAGUUGGUGGGGUAAAGGCCCACCAAGGCGACGAUCCCUAGCUGGUCUGAGAGGAUGAUCAGCCACACUGGAACUGAGACACGGUCCAGACUCCUACGGGAGGCAGCAGUGGGGAAUAUUGGACAAUGGGCGAAAGCCUGAUCCAGCCAUGCCGCGUGUGUGAAGAAGGCCUUCGGGUUGUAAAGCACUUUAAGCGAGGAGGAAGGUUCGCUGGCUAAUAUCCAGCGGAAUUGACGUUACUCGCGGAAUAAGCACCGGCUAACUCUGUGCCAGCAGCCGCGGUAAUACAGAGGGUGCAAGCGUUAAUCGGAAUUACUGGGCGUAAAGCGCGCGUAGGCGGUUGUGUAAGUUGGAGGUGAAAUCCCCGGGCUUAACCUGGGCACUGCCUUCAAAACUGCACGGCUAGAGUAUGGGAGAGGAAGGUAGAAUUCCAGGUGUAGCGGUGAAAUGCGUAGAGAUCUGGAGGAAUACCGAUGGCGAAGGCAGCCUUCUGG
RNAcentral lists this ribosomal RNA (505 nucleotides) under uncultured Gammaproteobacteria bacterium. RNAcentral's name for it is "bacterial SSU rRNA". It matches the Rfam family "Bacterial small subunit ribosomal RNA", at positions 235 to 732 of the family's 1533-position model. The record is from RNAcentral. Lineage: Bacteria; Pseudomonadati; Pseudomonadota; Gammaproteobacteria.